Molecule: ribosomal RNA, 253 nt
Filed under: uncultured bacterium
Lineage: Bacteria
Description: partial 16S ribosomal RNA
Rfam family: Bacterial small subunit ribosomal RNA
Source: RNAcentral
UACAGAGGUGGCAAGCGUUGUUCGGAAUUACUGGGCGUAAAGGGCGCGUAGGCGGCCAUCUAAGUCAGACGUGAAAUCCCCCGGCUUAACCUGGGAACUGCGUCUGAUACUGGAAGGCUUGAGUAUGGGAGAGGGAUGUAGAAUUCCAGGUGUAGCGGUGAAAUGCGUAGAGAUAUGGAGGAACACCAGUGGCGAAGGCGACUUUCUGGUCUGUAACUGACACUGAGGCGCGAAAGCGUGGGGAGCAAACAGG